GUGUCAGCCGCCGCGGUAAAACGUAGGAGCCUAGCGUUAUCCGAAUUUACUGGGCGUAAAGCGCGUGCAGGCGGUUCGGUAAGUUGGAUGUGAAAUCUCCCGGCUCAACUGGGAGAGGUCGUUCAAUACUGUCGAACUGGAGGAUGGUAGAGGGAGGUGGAAUUCCCGGUGUAGUGGUGAAAUGCGUAGAUAUCGGGAGGAAUACCAGUGGCGAAGGCGGCCUCCUGGACCAUUCCUGACGCUCAGACGCGAAAGCUAGGGGAGCGAACGGGAUUAGAAACCCCGGUAGUCCUAGCCGUAAACGAUGUAGACUUGGCGUUGGUGGGGUAAAAUCCAUCAGUGCCGGAGCUAACGCGGUAAGUCUACCGCCUGGGGACUACGGCCGCAAGGUUAAA
This 395-nucleotide ribosomal RNA is filed under the name uncultured bacterium. Its description in RNAcentral is "bacterial SSU rRNA". It matches the Rfam family "Bacterial small subunit ribosomal RNA", at positions 505 to 898 of the family's 1533-position model. The record is from RNAcentral.